Molecule: signal recognition particle RNA, 272 nt
Filed under: Saimiri boliviensis boliviensis (Bolivian squirrel monkey)
Lineage: Eukaryota; Metazoa; Chordata; Mammalia; Primates; Cebidae
Description: Metazoan signal recognition particle RNA (ENSSBOG00000003843.1)
Rfam family: Metazoan signal recognition particle RNA
About the family: The signal recognition particle (SRP) is a universally conserved ribonucleoprotein. It is involved in the co-translational targeting of proteins to membranes.
Source: RNAcentral
GCCAGGUGCGGUGGCGCGUGCCUGUAGUCCCAGCUACUUGGGAGGCCGAGGUGGGAGUAUCGCUUGAGCCCAGGCGUUCUGGGCUGCAGUGCGCUAUGCCAAUCAGGUGUCCACACUAAGUUCGGCAUCAAUAUGGUGACCUCCCGGGAGGGGUGAACUGGCCCAGGUCAGAAACGGAGCAGGUCAAAACUCCCAUGCUGAUCAGUAGUGGGAUCGCGCCUGUGAAUAGCCACGGCACUCCAGCCUGGGCAACAUAGUGAGACCCCAUCUCU